CCUUGUGGAGGAGGACGCCGAAGGUGGGGCUAAUGACUGGGGUGAAGUCGUAACAAGGUAGCCGUACCGGAAGGUGCGGCUGGAUCACCUCCUAACAGGGAGACAACAAAAUGUUUAAUAUUAUUAUUUUGUCACCUUAGGUCGAUCGGUAUCUCACGUUCUUAAUUUAUUAAGAAUUUCAUUUCCUAAGUUUUUCUAGGUCACACCCAUUAUUUUCCUGGGCCAUUAGCUCAGGUGGUUAGAGCGCACCCCUGAUAAGGGUGAGGUCCCUGGUUCAAGUCCAGGAUGGCCCAUAUCUCUAUGUUGGGGGUAUAGCUCAGUUGGUAGAGCGCCUGCUUUGCAAGCAGGAUGUCAGCGGUUCGAGUCCGCUUACCUCCACUGAUCACCACCUCUUCCAUAAUCGAUAGAAAGGAAAUGUUUUGAGUUGUGAUCUAAUUCUGAACGAAUCUAGCUUCCUAAUGAAAUUAUUAAGAUGCUGGACUCAUUGAAUUAAUUUCAUUGUUUUCAGAGAACCUUGACAACUGCAUAGAUUAUUUUUUAAAGACAAUAAGCAUCUUUUAAUGAUGCAGAUUUAUUAUUUGUGCGAAUGCAUUAAUAACAAUUCUAUUAAGCUGAUGCUUCAAUUUUGAAGUUAUUGGUCAAGCUACAAAGGGCUCACGGAGGAUACCUAGGCACACAGAGGCGA
RNAcentral lists this unclassified non-coding RNA (685 nucleotides) under uncultured Prochlorococcus sp. RNAcentral's name for it is "partial may contain 16S ribosomal RNA, 16S-23S ribosomal RNA intergenic spacer, and 23S ribosomal RNA". The stretch from base 1 to 95 matches the Rfam family "Bacterial small subunit ribosomal RNA", at positions 1439 to 1533 of the family's 1533-position model. Lineage: Bacteria; Bacillati; Cyanobacteriota; Cyanophyceae; Synechococcales; Prochlorococcaceae. The record is from RNAcentral.